RNAcentral lists this ribosomal RNA (717 nucleotides) under Kimberleytrachia aequum. RNAcentral's name for it is "partial 16S ribosomal RNA". The stretch from base 317 to 482 matches the Rfam family "Archaeal large subunit ribosomal RNA", at positions 1876 to 2091 of the family's 2987-position model. Lineage: Eukaryota; Metazoa; Mollusca; Gastropoda; Stylommatophora; Camaenidae. The record is from RNAcentral.
CACGAAACUGUAUGAGCUAACUGAAAUUGAAACUAUGUUGCAAAAUAGAUAAGGAAUUAUAGUUAGGGGUGAAAGGCCUUUCAAACACAGUGAUAUCUUGAUUUUCCCGAAAAGUAUUGAGUACAUUGAACAAUUUAGAGCGAUAAGGUUUUAAAUAAUUAUUAAGUAUAAUUAAUUAGGUAUAUUGAUAUAAAAGUCUAUAAGAAAGUAAAAUAAUAUUUAUUAUUUUAAAUUAUAAUAUGCAGGGAAAUAUUUAUUAAUUUAACUUCAAAUUGAUAAUGUUAAUAUUAGUAAUUAAGGUACCAAUAGUGAACUCGGCAUUAAGCUUUCAACUGUUUAUCAAAAACAUAGCUGUGUGUAGUAUACGCAGUGAUUUCUGCUCAAUGAAACAUUUAAAUAGCCGCAGUACUCUGACUGUGCAAAGGUAGCGUAAUCAAUUGUCUUCUAAUUAAAGACGAGUAUGAAGGAAUACAUGGGGGCUUUCUUUACCAUUGGUAAUAGUAGAAUUUACUUAUCGAGUGAAAAUACUCGUAAAUAAAUAAUAGACGAGAAGACCCUUGAAAUUUUGAGCAUUUUUUUGUUGGGGCAACAUAGUAGCAGAUAACCUACUGAAAUUAACUAGAAAUUAUGUAGUGUGAUUAAAUUACUCUAGGGAUAACAGCAUAAUAUAAAAUUGUUUGUGACCUCGAUGUUGGAUUAGGGAAUUGUCGCUUAGAA